RNAcentral lists this ribosomal RNA (720 nucleotides) under uncultured bacterium. RNAcentral's name for it is "bacterial SSU rRNA". It matches the Rfam family "Bacterial small subunit ribosomal RNA", at positions 8 to 776 of the family's 1533-position model. The record is from RNAcentral.
AGAGUUUGAUCCUGGCUCAGAACGAACGCUGGCGGCAGGCUUAACACAUGCAAGUCGAACGCCCCGCAAGGGGAGUGGCAGACGGGUGAGUAACGCGUGGGAAUCUACCUAGUUCUGCGGAACAACAGAGGGAAACUUCUGCUAAUACCGCAUACGCCCUACGGGGGAAAGAUUUAUCGGAAUUAGAUGAGCCCGCGUAAGAUUAGCUAGUUGGUGGGGUAAUGGCCUACCANGGCGACGAUCUUUAGCUGGUCUGAGAGGAUGAUCAGCCACACUGGGACUGAGACACGGCCCAGACUCCUACGGGAGGCAGCAGUGGGGAAUAUUGGACAAUGGGCGCAAGCCUGGUCCAGCCAUGCCGCGUGAGUGAUGAAGGCCUUAGGGUUGUAAAGCUCUUUCAGUGGGGAAGAUAAUGACGGUACCCACAGAAGAAGCCCCGGCUAACUUCGUGCCAGCAGCCGCGGUAAUACGAAGGGGGCUAGCGUUGUUCGGAUUUACUGGGCGUAAAGCGCACGUAGGCGGAUUGUUAAGUGAGGGGUGAAAUCCUGGAGCUCAACUCCAGAACUGCCUUUCAUACUGGCGAUCUANAGUCCGGAAGAGGUAAGUGGAACUCCUAGUGUAGAGGUGGAAUUCGUAGAUAUUAGGAAGAACACCAGUGGCGAAGGCGGCUUACUGGUCCGGUACUGACGCUNAGGUGCGAAAGCGUGGGGAGCAAACAGG